AUGGAUAAUUGUCAGUGGGGUAGCCCGAAUUUUUCCAUUUCACAUGGAGCACCAAUCUGCAAUUCGCCGUGGCAUAUAUUAUCACAGUUAGGAGUAUAUGGACUGCAAAAGCUGUGGCGAGAUUAUCAAGGACAUGCUUUGAGCCUUAGGAUAAAACUGGCCAUUUUUUCCUUAAAUGAGAAAACUUUGACCACAUGA
Vicia faba (fava bean) is the source of this 198-nucleotide non-coding RNA. Lineage: Eukaryota; Viridiplantae; Streptophyta; Magnoliopsida; Fabales; Fabaceae. The record is from the annotation of a GenBank genome assembly.